UUACAGUCAAAUCACGCUGAAAACACCGGCUCUCGUUCGAUCACCGAAGUUAAGCAUCGUAGAGCCAGGUCAGUACUUAGAUGGGGGACCGCUUGGGAACAACUGGUACUGUAAG
This is a non-coding RNA of Acanthosepion pharaonis, 115 nucleotides long. Lineage: Eukaryota; Metazoa; Mollusca; Cephalopoda; Sepiida; Sepiidae. The record is from the annotation of a GenBank genome assembly.